AAUUUUUUUUUUAAUAAUGUAAACUACACAUAUGUUUUACGGAAUAUUUCACAUCACAGAAAAAUGGAUAAGUACCAAUUUAUCAUUGCGGAAUUUCAUGACGGGUUACAAGUUAUACCCUCAGAAUGGUGCAAUGCCGAUAAAUUAUCAUGUAUAUGGCCUAAUCAUAUGAAAACUAAAUAUCGCAUUAACAAGGCCAUAUUGGCAAGAGAGAUGCCUCGAGAAAAAUCUGAUUGGGAAGAGUUACCAAUAAAAAGAAUUUUUGGUGGAGCAAAUACUUAUGAAGAAAGUUUACAAAAAUUAAGUCUAGCGCAAGACACGUCAAAUAUAGAUGACACUGGGAUGUCUUCAAAUGAUUUAAGAGAACAAAAUAAAAAGCAAAGACGUAUAAAAGCAAAGAAAAAAAUAUUAUCAUCUUCUUUAGAAGAAGAUAUCUAUUUAAAAAAUAAAGAAAAUAAAAUAAAUAUAAUACAACAUAAAAUCUCCUUUUCCUGACAGAGGCAAUUUUGUUAAUAAAGUAAUUGAGCCUAUACAAAACAUUACAAAUAUUUUACGUGAAAAAAAUAUUAUUAUUCCUACAAACAGUAAUGAUAGAAAUAACAAGCAAAUUGCUACGAAUAAUAUAAAGAUUCUUUAAGAUUCUUCUGAAAAUACUGAGAAAGAUUUGUCUGCUUAUGAGUUCAAGAAACAGAUUAUAGGAAAAUUGAACAAAAUAUUAUAUAAAUUAGACGGUAUAGAAAUCAAAAUUAAUAUGCUAGAGGAGAAAAUGCAAUUUUCCUGUCAUUCUUAUGAUGGUCAAGAUGAAUGUGAUAUUCAUUUCCCGAUUUCUACACUUACUGAAUUAAUAUCCUUUGAAGAUCAAUUACAGGAAAUCGAAUUUAAAGAUAAAGUUCUUAAUGUUUUAAAACUUGUUGGUGGAGUUGAUGGACAUGCCAUGAUACGAAAUAUUAUGAAAAAAGUAAUAACAGACACUUUAGCUCAAAAUUUCAACUGGACAGGAAAAAAAAAUAAGCGUAGCUUCAAAGAUUUAAAUCUUUCUAAAAUGAUUAUACAAUACACAUCUAAAUGGCUGUCUCAAGCUACUGUAAGAGUUCAAAGAGAUGAAAAGAAACAUAUUCAGGAAGAAAAAUAAAAACUAGAAGAACAGGAAGAACUAAAAAACAGGAAGAAAAAAAUUAGAAGAGAAC
Camponotus floridanus (Florida carpenter ant) is the source of this 1187-nucleotide long non-coding RNA. RefSeq lists it as uncharacterized. The transcript is spliced from 7 exons. The record is from RefSeq and is a predicted model, not a curated record. NCBI's taxonomy places the organism in Eukaryota, Metazoa, Arthropoda, Insecta, Hymenoptera, Formicidae.